GCGGCCGUGGUGAAACGGUUAUCAUGGAAGCCUGUGGAUAGCUUCAGUUGGGGGUUCGAUUCCCCCCGGCUGCC
RNAcentral lists this transfer RNA (74 nucleotides) under Candidatus Woesearchaeota archaeon. RNAcentral describes it as "tRNA-His". It matches the Rfam family "tRNA". Rfam says of the family: Transfer RNA (tRNA) molecules are approximately 80 nucleotides in length. Their secondary structure includes four short double-helical elements and three loops (D, anti-codon, and T loops). Further hydrogen bonds mediate the characteristic L-shaped molecular structure. tRNAs have two regions of fundamental functional importance: the anti-codon, which is responsible for specific mRNA codon recognition, and the 3' end, to which the tRNAs corresponding amino acid is attached (by aminoacyl-tRNA synthetases). tRNAs cope with the degeneracy of the genetic code in two manners: having more than one tRNA (with a specific anti-codon) for a particular amino acid; and 'wobble' base-pairing, i.e. permitting non-standard base-pairing at the 3rd anti-codon position. Lineage: Archaea; Nanobdellati; Candidatus Woesearchaeota. The record is from RNAcentral.